RNAcentral lists this long non-coding RNA (2055 nucleotides) under Malus domestica (apple). RNAcentral describes it as "long non-coding RNA (MDOM_LNC000870)". The record is from RNAcentral. Lineage: Eukaryota; Viridiplantae; Streptophyta; Magnoliopsida; Rosales; Rosaceae.
GCCCAUGAACAAGACAAUCCCUAACAAUAAAUCCUUCCGGGCCGAGAAUGAUUCCACACUCGGCCCAAACCAAUAUUUUGGGCCUAAACAAUUAUAUAAACUAAUUAAUUUGAACAUAUAAUAAUGUCAUUUUUCAAAAAGAUGAGAGUUUUAACCUGUUAGGUACAUAAUAAAGAUAUAUGUGGUGUCAUCUUAAAAUAGGGUUAUAAAACCUCAUAAAAAUAAACAUAAAUAUGAUAUUUAAGAGAGAAGCAAAAAAGUAAAAAUAAGAUGAUGGGGACUAUUCAAAAGGGGGAAGACGUGCAGUUGUAAAAAAAGGUAGUGGGACCAUCUUAAGUAAAAUCGUGCAAUUAAAAUGAUGUUGGGAAUAUGGUUGUGUUCUUCCUCGCGCGAGGCCGACCCUGCAACAAAAGAUUUCCAUAUUCCGACGUUUACAUAUAAGCCCGCAUAGCUCCCAUCUAUCUUUGUCCAGACCUGCCCAGUUCCGCCAAAAAAUUAGGGGCCUUAGGCAGGUGCCUACUCCAGCUACCUUCAGGGCCGACUCUAAAUAUGUCAACUGAUCGAUUCCUACAAUUUAGUAAUUCAAUGUAAUUUAUGCCAAAUGAGUUUAGAUAUGUAAAUAUAGGUUUUUUUUCAGAUAUUUUUCUUCCCCAAUUAGUUGUUGUCUACAAUGCAAGCAACAAGAGGUGGCCUUCUAUUCAUUCUUAUCCUCCAUUUCUACAUAUAUGAUCAUAUAGGUACACUUUUGUUUUUGAUAAAGCAUCUCAUCGAUCGGUACACUAAUCCUCUUAUAUUUGUUUUCCUUUUGCUCUACCAAGCAUAUCCAAUGGGUAUUAUUUUCUAGUUUUUGAACAAUAAUAAACCUUUGAUACAAGUUUCAACUAUGCUUUUAAUUUUUGAACAAGAAAAUUGUUACUGCCACUACAGAACAUAAGAGGAAUGCCAGCUAUCUUUCCCAUUUGCCUUUCCUCACUUAUCUUCCCCACUCAAUUUAUGUCAUGUGGAAUCAACUUACACUUACAUUUAUGUAUUAUUGUGUACAGAAUAUUAUUCUUCUCUUUCCCGGUAGGUGCGUUUUUAGAGUCACUUAGUAAUACUGUCUAGUGAUAUUUCUCUUCAUUUGUAACUAAGAGAUCUUAGGUUCAAUCUCGCCAAAAGGCGAAUUUAAACUACAUUAUUGCUAGCUCAUUGUGUGGUUUAGCCCAAUCCUCCAAUGUUUUAGUGUAAAUAAUAUCUUCUAUUAAAAAAAACCCCGUAAUUAAUGUUCCAGAAUUUAACCAAACAAUUAUGACUUCUCUAUUUUAAUUAAUGUUCCAAAUUUUAACCAAAUAAUUCUUAUACCAUCUCGUUUACCUUUAAUCUCCUAUGUUCUUUUUAGGGAAAAUUUAAAAUAGGUCCAAUUUUAUAGGCUUACUUUUGAAAUAGGUCCAAUUUUUAGUGACUUUUGACUUUUGAAAUAUGUCCAAUUUUUAGUUAUUUUUUACCCAUAUCAAAAGACCCCUUGUUUUUAUUGGAGAAUUUUUCUAGAAACAGACAACGCAAGAGAAAAAGACUCCAUCGAGAGCUUAAGAACCAUAACAAGUUAGAAAUGAUUAAAAAGUAAUAUUUUACUCAAAAAUAGAAAUAAUAGUUGUUUGGUAAAAUCUGGAACAUUAAUUAGGGGCAUAUUAGAAAGGAGAAAAAUGAAAUUCUCACAUGUUAAAUACAUAGACAUAAGUGUAAGUUGAUUGCACAUGGCAUAAAUUAAUUAAGGAAGACAAGUGAAGAAAGACAAUAAAAAAAAUAGCUAACAUCUUUAUAUAUAAAGCCAACAAAAUGGAAUAGAUGAGUUGAAGAGUUAGGCUCCAGAGUCCUGUCUAUGACUUUGUACCCUCUCCCUCCUCCAAGAUGCCUAAACCUCAGAAACCCUAUCUGCCAUUGGCCUCUUGCUCUGGCUUGGGGUCGGCGGCAGCCUAGCCCUUCCCUCCUCACCCUCCUUCCUCUUCCCCUUUCGUCCAUCUUUUAUUUCAUCUUUAUCUCCCAUCUUUCCCUGAUUUUUGCCCUUCUUCAUCUUAU